CACAGAUUUUGUACAAUGCAUUUGAAGUAUUUUUUAAGGUUAGUUGUCCACAAACUUCAGGCAAUUCGAAAUAGAUUUAUGCAUUUUGAACAUAAAAAAUAUCAAAAACAGAGGUUCAAUGUACAACCGGUUGUUAUUCAAACUAGGAUUUUCACGAUUGGGUCGUAUCGUUUUUUAUUCAUUUAUUUGUUUACAGGAAAUAAAAUUAUCAAAAACAAAAUAAAACGUAUAUAUUUGUCCUAUGAAUGUUAGACCUACUUGAAGUUGUUGUGACAAUUCAACCACAGAUAGUAUCGAUAUUUACAAGGAUGUAAACUAAUCAAAGGAUGAGAGUUUAAGCUUCCUUUUGCCGGAUAUUUGUUUUUUUGCGACUUUAAUAUUCAUUUGAAGUGUGAAAGGACCAGUUUAGUUAAAAAAUGUCCAACAUGACGACCCUUUUCGCUGCGAAUUCUACAACAACUUCUAUUGGAGGGGUUAAAACAUUAGUUGAUGGUUAUGAUAUACCCGUGUAUGGAAUAAAAGAGGGAAAAUUUUAUAACAUUCACGUGCCAGCGCUGAUAUGUAUUUGCCUUAGUUUUAUAUGCGCAUUAACAAUUAUAGGAUAUUCUUUCUAUCAUCAACAUUUUUCAACUUUUUUCCAGUGGACAAAAAGCGAGAGAUUUGUAGUAUACAUGGCACUAUGUGACGCCCUUUUUAACGCUGCGCAUUUUACCGACCAUAUGCACAUUGCUGUUACAAAAACACUACCACGACCAAAAUCGCUUUGUGCAUUUUAUGGAUUUAUGCUGGCUGAGUUCAUAACAGCACAAAAUUUGAUGGUGAAUAUUGUCGCCAUUAAUGUAUUCAUUUUAGUAUUCUACCGUAAGCACUUAAAUUUCGGAAAAUGCGACUACCGACUCUUGCUCUACAUAUUCGGCGCUCCAGCUUUAGGUGGACUCAUCGCAGGUUCCCUUGGACAACUUGGACCUAAUGGAUCAUUGUAUGUAUUUUCUUCAUAUUACCAUAUCAGUCACGCAUAUGCUUUUGUUGUGUUUGAAUCGCUUUUAUGAAGAAAAAAAAAACAUAGAAAAAUAUUUGAUUCUGUUUUAAUAUGAAUAACGUUAAAUUUGAAAUUAUACCACAAUUUCAUUCUUUUAAGAACAUGAUUAAUAUCAAUGAAUUACAUUUAUACGUUUUCAUUCGAUGAACAGAAAAUGUGAUACCAAAACUGGUUAAUUGUUGUACGCAAAACAAUAAAAUGGUUGAUUCGAGUAUUUUGCGAUCAUAUAAAAAGGGUUCUGUUUGUAAUGUAUACUGAUACCAAUUUAUUAAUUUAUCUGUUGGCAAACACUUAUCAGGAAUGUUUCUGUUCGCAUUCCGUAGAUUGGCCUACACUAUUUUAUGAGUUCGUUUGUUAAAAUAUAUAUUGAAAAUUUAUUUUGAAAGUUGUUUUUUUCUUUUCAGCUGUUAUUUUGAUGGAAUUAAAGGAAAAUGGACGGGUGUUUUCUUCACAACAGUACCUCUUUUGCUGGUUGUUGUCAUAAACACGAUUCUUUACAUUUUAAGUUGGUUAAGGAUCUACAAAGAAGCCAAAGAAAUUAAAGAUUCACUCGGAAAGUCCUCUAGAGUUUUAAGAGCUUCACAUAAAGCUGCAAAAACAAUGUCAUUAUUUGUCGCAGCAUUCUUCGUUCAAUGGUGGGCAAUGGCGUUAUAUGGUAUUUGGCAGUUGGUUGCUGAUGUUCCAUUUCUUUUAUUCAAUUUUGUGACAACAUUUUCCAACGUAGGUGGUAUUUUGAAUGGAAUAGUGUUUAUCAUCAUAAUGCGCAGAAAACGCGAGAAGGCAGAUUCAAGUACUAAAGCCUCCGACGACAAGGUGGGAUCUGGUCAUACCGCAUCUACACCUAUCCACUCAACCGUACAUUCGAACAGUCAUUUUGCAAAUGUUGUUUAAAUAAUUAACGACACGGAAU
Molecule: long non-coding RNA, 1949 nt
Filed under: Mytilus galloprovincialis (Mediterranean mussel)
Lineage: Eukaryota; Metazoa; Mollusca; Bivalvia; Mytilida; Mytilidae
Source: RNAcentral